AUUUAAAUAGCUUAAAUUAAAGAGUAUUACGUUGAAGGUGUAGUGGUGACUUUUGUCUUUAAAUG
This 65-nucleotide transfer RNA is filed under the name Nemertopsis sp. WYS-2013. RNAcentral's name for it is "tRNA-Phe". The record is from RNAcentral. Lineage: Eukaryota; Metazoa; Nemertea; Enopla; Monostilifera; Emplectonematidae.